This is a long non-coding RNA of Meriones unguiculatus (Mongolian gerbil), 945 nucleotides long. RefSeq lists it as uncharacterized. The record is from RefSeq and is a predicted model, not a curated record. The transcript is spliced from 3 exons. Lineage: Eukaryota; Metazoa; Chordata; Mammalia; Rodentia; Muridae.
CGGGACCGAGCGCAAGCCUCGCAGAGCUAACGGCCGUCGCCCCGGGAGGGGCUGGGCGCGCUGAGGCCUGCGGCCGCAAGGCACGCCGGGAGAGAGGCGCGCUGAGGCUGCCGGGACCCCGGGAGCGCGGGAGCGAGGGAGAACGGCCUCUGUGGAGCUCCAUAGUGACUUGCGUUUGCUCCGACUCUGGAUUGUCCCAGGGACUUGGAGGAUCACCCAUCCCAGAACGACAGGAAAGGAGUUUUACUCGCAGCGUCACCAUGCCGGGAAGGAUAAAAGUCUAAUGACUGAAACAUUUCACCUACAUGUAUCUACGAGCACCAGGUGCUUGCCUAGUACCUGCGAGGAUGAGUAGAGGGCAGUGGAGUUCCUGAAACUGGAGUCAUGACAGUGACACCACUUGGCUUUGGCUGCUGAUAUUACAGAAAGACUUUCCAUUGGUAAAACAAGAUUCUGUACUAAAGUAAAGGAUUUUUCCAAAACAGGAAAUGAAAGGUGAAGACAAGGAGCACUAUACCACAGAACUGCAUUCCUAGUUAGAGGGUUCAGGGUUUUGUUUUUUGGGUGUUUUGUUUUGGUCUUUUUGCUUUUGAGACAGGGUCUUUCUGUGUAGCUUUGGUUGUCCUGGAACUUGCUAUGUAGACCAGGCUGGCCUCGAACUCAAGACAUUCUAAUGUUUCUGCCUUCUGAGUGCUGUUGUUAAAGUCCUGUGCCACCACACCAGGCCAACUCUCUGUCUCUCUGUGUGUGUUUGUGUGUAAGAUCUCUGUGACUGCAAGGUAUGUGUGCCACGGCAUGCAUAGGACAGGAAACAGCUUAGGAGUUGAUUCUCUCCUGUGGAUUUCAGGGACUGAAUUAGAGUUGUCAACAAGGACUUCUAUCCCCGAGCCCUCUCACUUAUCAGAGAUUUCAACUUUAAGCAGGUGUCUGCCCAAGACAUGAUUA